RNAcentral lists this ribosomal RNA (626 nucleotides) under Orbilia scolecospora. RNAcentral's name for it is "eukaryotic LSU rRNA". It matches the Rfam family "Eukaryotic large subunit ribosomal RNA", at positions 23 to 664 of the family's 3401-position model. The record is from RNAcentral. Lineage: Eukaryota; Fungi; Ascomycota; Orbiliomycetes; Orbiliales; Orbiliaceae.
ACCCGCUGAACUUAAGCAUAUCAAUAAGCGGAGGAAAAGAAACCAACAGGGAUUGCCUCAGUAACGGCGAGUGAAGCGGCAAAAGCUCAAAUUUGAAAUCUGGGGCCUUUGGCCUCCGAGUUGUAAUUUGAAGAGGAUGCUUCGGUUGCGGUCACGGUCUAAGUUCCUUGGAACAGGACGUCGCGGAGGGUGAGAAUCCCGUACACGGCUAGUGGCUUGCUUCCAUGUGUGGCUCCUUCGAAGAGUCGAGUUGUUUGGGAAUGCAGCUCAAAAUGGGUGGUAAAUUUCAUCUAAAGCUAAAUACUGGCGAGAGACCGAUAGCGCACAAGUAGAGUGAUCGAAAGAUGAAAAGCACUUUGAAAAGAGAGUUAAACAGUACGUGAAAUUGUUGAAAGGGAAGCGCUUGCAAUCAGACUCGCUCUCGGUUGAUCAUCGGUCCUUCUGGGCUGUGCACUCUGCCGUCUGCGGGCCAGCAUCGGUUGGGACGACGGGACAAAGGCGUUGGGAAUGUGGCUCUCUUCGGGGAGUGUUAAGCCCUUCGCGCAAUGCCGCCUGCCCCGACCGAGGUCCGCGCUUCUGCUAGGAUGCUGGCUUAAUGGUUGUAAGUGACCCGUCUUGAAACACGG